Molecule: long non-coding RNA, 1523 nt
Filed under: Toxoplasma gondii VEG
Lineage: Eukaryota; Apicomplexa; Conoidasida; Eucoccidiorida; Sarcocystidae
Source: RNAcentral
CGGGUGUAAAGACACCCAAAAAGGUGGAACGCUUGCUUCCUGUGCUUUCUCGUCUGCGCGCGGACGCUUUCACAUCUUUCUGCGAAAACCGACUCAUUCCCUGGCUGCUCCAACCUCGCCCGCGCUCGGCGAGGCGCAGACGACAAAGCCACACAGAGGCCCCGAGAGAAGACAGAGAAGACCGAGAGAGAGAGCUGAGAAAAACGAGAGAGACGAGACGCAGACAGGGAGAGACGAAAAGCGGCUUCUCUCUCAACUUCCACGCCCGAGUUUCUGCACUCUUCCCCCCUCUUUUGACUCCGCCCAGCCAAUUUCGUGUGCCUAUAUCGAACGCGUUGUGGCCUGCACGUUCUCUCGGAGACAAAAUACGCUCUUUUAUCUCUGAUAUUUGGAGAUGGUACCAACCACGCAGCUUCUAUCCUUUGCUCGAAGCCCAGAGACUCGCGUUCUCUUCUCUAUGUCAACUUCUGCAAAGGACCGCUGCUGAACCGCCUGCCCGCGCCGUUCACCGCCCUCGUAUCUGUGUGCAGCGACAGCGGACCUUUCUGUUCAUUGUCCAUCCUUCUCGUGCUCUGUCAAAGCCACCAGACUCUCCUCUCGUGUCUCCCCUUCGACAAAAGCGCGACGACAUGACCGGCGGCAGUGGCGAGUAACUCCGGACGACUCGGCUAGCUGCCCCUGCGUCCUCUUCCUCCACUUCUCCUCUUUCUCUUCUUCUCCCUCCUCUUCGUCUCUGCAUCAUGCCAGCUUCACCGAGCGGCGGAGGGGAAGAGCCUCGUCCUGGCAGGAGAAGAAGGGAGUCACAGAGCCCGCGAGAGGUGUACAUACAGCAGACGGGGGCGGGGAAGAACAGCCAGCGAGAGGCUGGCGACUCCGUUUCCACGCAUGCGCCUUCUGCGACCGCGCCGCUGCCCUCCUUUCCUUCGCUAAACAGAGACGUCAACGAAGGCACAACAUCAAAACGUUUGACUCUCCCCCUUGCUCCCAAUGCGCUGAGUAAUCCAGAGAACUCUUCUUCCUCUUGCUUCUCUUCUUCUCCCCCCUCUUCGUUCCCGUUUUCUUCGUCUGCGUCUUUGGAGGAAUCUUCUCCGCUGUUUGAGAGUCUGGUGUGUUCUGCGGAGUCUCCACACGGGCGCGAGACUGCCUCUGUGCACAGCUUCUCAGAAGUCAGAGCCUCAGGGUUCGCGGUCGCGCUGCCGCUAGUUGGGCUCGUCUCCGGCUCUUCUCGCCAGGAGCGGCGACCACAGGAGAUUCCACUCAAGCCUCUAUCCUCCCAGAGAGAAGAAGAGCGAGAGUCCCUCUCCACAGACGGCCGACAGCCCUCCUUCGAGCGCAUCCUCCUCAAGGAUUCAGAAACUCAUCAUUUCUCGGAGGCGAGUUCGCGUUUUCUAGGGGACUCCGAAGCCUCUGCUGCCUCUUUUUUGCCGCUCUUCUCUCCCGCCCCGGGACGUGGAGCUCUGCCGCGCCCGCGCCGCCUGCAUGCGGCUGCUCCGGCGUCGCUGCUGCGUCUCGGCCGCCGCGUC